Molecule: long non-coding RNA, 464 nt
Organism: Daphnia carinata
Lineage: Eukaryota; Metazoa; Arthropoda; Branchiopoda; Diplostraca; Daphniidae
Exons: 3
Source: RefSeq, a predicted model, not a curated record
GAACUGGCCGCGUAAUGUAGUGCUGUUCUCUGCUCGGAAUCUGCAGCCUUGGGGCUAGCUCCGCGCUGAAGAAAAAAACGUAACAUCGCAAUGUUGGUCGUCAUUGAAGCGUACAGGAUUGCUGCAUUGAAGCAGGAAGAAGAUUUACGAAGCAUGAUGGCUGUUUAAAAAAAAACUUUGCGUAAUGAUGAAUGGAAAUUUCAACGCCAUUUUCUACCUCAACGUGCUAAGCAACUAACCUAGUUUCCCUCAUCGGUGGCGCAUUUGCACCGAGAAAAGUAAGACCGAAUGUUUACCAGACUUUGCUCUCCGGAUGUAUUUACGGAUUGUAUCAAUCGGCUAGCUCUGGUAACUGUUAAUCUUCAGUGGCCGGCGAUAGAUCCAACGACCUGAAAUAGACGUCUUUCAUGGCAUGAAGGAUGGAAUGUGUUAGUUCCAAGAUUUGACGAUGUUGAUUUCACCGU